ACUGAACGCUGGCGGCAUGCCUUACACAUGCAAGUCGAACGGCAGCACGGGAGCAAUCCUGGUGGCGAGUGGCGAACGGGUGAGUAAAGUAUCGGAACGUGCUCAGUCGUGGGGGAUAACGUAGCGAAAGUUACGCUAAUACCGCAUACGAUCUAUGGAUGAAAGCGGAGGAUCGCAAGACCUCGCGCGAUUGGAGCGGCAGAUAUCAGAUUAGGUAGAUGGUGGGGUAAAGGCUCACCAAGCCGACGAUCCGUAGCGGGUCUGAGAGGACGACCAGCCACACUGGGACUGAGACACGGCCCAGACUCCUACGGGAGGCAGCAGUGGGGAAUUUUGGACAAUGGGCGAAAGCCUGAUCCAGCCAUGCCGCGUGCGGGAUGAAGGCCUUCGGGUUGUAAACUGCUUUUGUACGGAACGAAAAGGUUUGGCCUAAUAAGCUGAGCUCAUGACGGUACCGUAAGAAUAAGCACCGGCUAACUACGUGCCAGCCGCCGCCGUAA
Molecule: ribosomal RNA, 500 nt
Filed under: uncultured bacterium
Lineage: Bacteria
Description: partial 16S ribosomal RNA
Rfam family: Bacterial small subunit ribosomal RNA
Source: RNAcentral